AUUGAACGCUGGCGGCAGGCCUAACACAUGCAAGUCGAGCGGAUGAAGGGAGCUUGCUCCUGGAUUCAGCGGCGGACGGGUGAGUAAUGCCUAGGAAUCUGCCUGGUAGUGGGGGAUAACGUCCGGAAACGGGCGCUAAUACCGCAUACGUCCUGAUGGAGAAAGUGGGGGAUCUUCGGACCUCACGCUAUUAGAUGAGCCUAGGUCGGAUUAGCUAGUUGGUGGGGUAAAGGCCUACCAAGGCGACGAUCCGUAACUGGUCUGAGAGGAUGAUCAGUCACACUGGAACUGAGACACGGUCCAGACUCCUACGGGAGGCAGCAGUGGGGAAUAUUGGACAAUGGGCGAAAGCCUGAUCCAGCCAUGCCGCGUGUGUGAAGAAGGUCUUCGGAUUGUAAAGCACUUUAAGUUGGGAGGAAGGGCAGUAAGUUAAUACCUUGCUGUUUUGACGUUACCAACAGAAUAAGCACCGGCUAACUUCGUG
This 484-nucleotide ribosomal RNA is filed under the name uncultured bacterium. Its description in RNAcentral is "partial 16S ribosomal RNA". It matches the Rfam family "Bacterial small subunit ribosomal RNA", at positions 30 to 507 of the family's 1533-position model. The record is from RNAcentral.